GUGAACUCAGUCUGCCCCUCCCGCCGCACCUUACCUGACCUGACCUUCUGCCACGGUGGCCGGCGGCGUCGACGGCCUGAAUCAUGCGGGGAGAGAGAGAGCGUGAGGGAGGGAGGCGACCACCGGCGGUGGCGGAGUGGAGGUGGUGGCGAUACCGCGGCAGGCGGUACGCACGCAGGCUUGCGGCGGCGAAACAAUGGAGAGGCUGGCGAGGGGAAGAGAGGUCGGAGCUUCGGGCGGCGAGCUGGAGAAUCUCCGUCUUCACACGGGAUCUAUUCACUUCCCGGUUCAUGGCGGCGGCGGUCUUCCUGAUCCAGUUCUACAAGCCGAGCAAUGGCUGCAGACUAACCAUUCCAACUUACAAGACUUUGCGGAGAACUGGGUGCCUUCGCAACAGCGGGUGAUUGGUUGAGCUUAUUGGAGGGAUUGGGGAAUCAGUUCACUGACCUUUUGUCGAACAAGAAGACCUUGGUCCGAUGAGCACUCCGAGGGACAGUUCCAUAGCUUGUCUCAGUCCUGAAGAGGUGAGCUUGGUACUCUGAUAUCAGUGCUUCUGCCACCGUUUCUUUCGGUUAUUUUUGUGUUCAUUGCUGGCUCUCUCUUAUGUGUUAGCUUACAUCCUUGUGACUGUGUGAGGUUGGUCUUUUGUAUUGAUAUCCAUUGAAUUUGCAUCUGUAAUAUAUUCGUCGACACAAAAAUUUGUGUUUGUGGGUUGGUUAGUAAAAAGGAUCUUUUUGAAAUUA
Aegilops tauschii subsp. strangulata is the source of this 743-nucleotide long non-coding RNA. RefSeq lists it as uncharacterized. The record is from RefSeq and is a predicted model, not a curated record. NCBI's taxonomy places the organism in Eukaryota, Viridiplantae, Streptophyta, Magnoliopsida, Poales, Poaceae.